This 567-nucleotide long non-coding RNA is filed under the name Triticum aestivum (bread wheat). RNAcentral's name for it is "long non-coding RNA (TAES_LNC017711)". The record is from RNAcentral. Lineage: Eukaryota; Viridiplantae; Streptophyta; Magnoliopsida; Poales; Poaceae.
AUGCAUGGGUUUCGUUGUAACUUUUCAUAUGUCAAACACUUAAGAGUGGUGAUUUUUGAUACGUUUGGAAAAGUGGCUGAUGGCACGUCAUUGAAUGUUUUGUUUUGGCAGGUGGAUGAGCUAUGCUAGCUGAGGAAUGGGGCGCUGCAGAGGAUAUAAGUGGCUGAGCUUUGCUGUAGGGAAGUUACGCAACUGCAGAAGAGCCAACAACUAUCUGAAGAUGCAGUCACAGCAUUCUAUUCCCUGGGUCAUGCCAUGUUUUGUCUGGAUUGGAACUUUGGAAGUUGUUAUUUUUACGUUGCAAUUGUUCUGUACAUGUUAUUACUAGUUUAAGGGAAGGUUUCUGUGAAACAUCCAUUGCAUUGGUCUGAAUAAUCAUCGUUUGAAUGUUCUCACUAUGGUUGUAUAAUCAAAUCGUCCUGUAGCAUGCAUGUACCAACAAAUUGACUUCACUGUACUGUAUCUGGUGAUCAUGUUAUUACUCAUGCUCCUACUCUUUUAUGGUCAUCUUAUGCUACUCUGGAUGAGAGCUGUGUAUGUUAUGCCACAUAUGUCAAAUUUAUGCAU